This 451-nucleotide ribosomal RNA is filed under the name Limosilactobacillus fermentum. RNAcentral's name for it is "bacterial SSU rRNA". It matches the Rfam family "Bacterial small subunit ribosomal RNA", at positions 348 to 796 of the family's 1533-position model. The record is from RNAcentral. Lineage: Bacteria; Bacillati; Bacillota; Bacilli; Lactobacillales; Lactobacillaceae.
GCAGCAGUGAGGAAUAUUGGUCAAUGGACGCAAGUCUGAACCAGCCAUGCCGCGUGCAGGAUGACGGCUCUAUGAGUUGUAAACUGCUUUUGUACGAGGGUAAACGCAGAUACGUGUAUCUGUCUGAAAGUAUCGUACGAAUAAGGAUCGGCUAACUCCGUGCCAGCAGCCGCGGUAAUACGGAGGAUCCAAGCGUUAUCCGGAUUUAUUGGGCGUAAAGCGCGCGCAGGCGGUCUUUUAAGUCUGAUGUGAAAGCCCCCGGCUUAACCGGGGAGGGUCAUUGGAAACUGGAAGACUGGAGUGCAGAAGAGGAGAGUGGAAUUCCAAGUGUAGCGGUGAAAUGCGUAGAUAUUAGGAGGAACACCAGUGGCGAAGGCGACUAUCUGGACUGUAACUGACGUUGAGGCACGAAAGCGUGGGGAGCAAACAGGAUUAGAUACCCUGGUAGUCC